UAGCCCUUGUCCUUCUGCCUUAG
RNAcentral lists this microRNA (23 nucleotides) under Sarcophilus harrisii (Tasmanian devil). RNAcentral's name for it is "Sha-Mir-7373-o5_5p (mature (co-guide))". The record is from RNAcentral. Lineage: Eukaryota; Metazoa; Chordata; Mammalia; Dasyuromorphia; Dasyuridae.